Molecule: non-coding RNA, 113 nt
Organism: Pelobates cultripes (western spadefoot toad)
Lineage: Eukaryota; Metazoa; Chordata; Amphibia; Anura; Pelobatidae
Source: the annotation of a GenBank genome assembly
AAUAUAAAUAUAAAGUAAUUAACCUGUAGCGAAGUAAAUGUCCACUGAGAUUCUGCAGUACAGUAUCUAGUGGACAUUUACUUCGCUGCAGGUUAAUUACUUUAUAUUUAUAU